Non-coding RNA from Xylaria digitata, 99 nucleotides. Lineage: Eukaryota; Fungi; Ascomycota; Sordariomycetes; Xylariales; Xylariaceae. The record is from the annotation of a GenBank genome assembly.
UCCGAAUUGGUGUAGUGGCUAACAUUUGACGCUCUCAAACUUCCUCGUUCAGAUGAAGAAGGAACCGUCAAGCCCGGGGUUCGAUUCCCCGAUUCGGAG